Long non-coding RNA from Mesocricetus auratus (golden hamster), 469 nucleotides. RefSeq lists it as uncharacterized. The record is from RefSeq and is a predicted model, not a curated record. NCBI's taxonomy places the organism in Eukaryota, Metazoa, Chordata, Mammalia, Rodentia, Cricetidae. The transcript has 3 exons.
CUGCCAUUCAAUUGCCUCCUCUUCAGCAGUCCCAGCGGGAGGGUAUAUGUGGAUAUAUUCAGUUCUAAGCAAUACCUCUGCUCCUAAGUCCCUGCAGCUUCUGCAACCAGGACAGGCCUGCACUGGGACAUGGAGGUGAAGAGAACCAAGUCACCUCCCCUAACAGCAAGCUGACCCUGCUUCAACUGGCUCAGAAACACAGAGGACCCUUCAGAGGAAGAACAUCCCAGGACAACACACCUGAAGUCACUGACAGACACAUGAAAUCGCAAUGUUUUGAGACUCAAAUUCCACUGAGAAAAGGGAAUAAGAAACCAUGGGUCCAGAAUGAAGACCAAUGAGCUUUUCAGGAGCUCAUUCAAGUUUCAAGAUGGGCCUUAAUGGGGCAGCUUUGAAUUUCCAUUUUAAUGCUCAGCCAUUCGCCACCACAGACAUUCCUGAGCCUGCAUGCUGGGCACGGUGUGGCUCC